AGAGUUUGAUCCUGGCUCAGGAUGAACGCUGGCGGCGUGCUUAACACAUGCAAGUCGAACGAAGCACUUUAAUUGAUUUCUUCGGAAUGAAGUUUUUGUGACUGAGUGGCGGACGGGUGAGUAACGCGUGGGUAACCUGCCUCAUACAGGGGGAUAACAGUUGGAAACGACUGCUAAUACCGCAUAAGCGCACAGGAUUGCAUGAUCCAGUGUGAAAAACUCCGGUGGUAUGAGAUGGACCCGCGUCCGAUUAGCUAGUUGGUGAGGUAACGGCCCACCAAGGCAACGAUCGGUAGCCGGACUGAGAGGUUGAACGGCCACAUUGGGACUGAGACACGGCCCAGACUCCUACGGGAGGCAGCAGUGGGGAAUAUUGCACAAUGGGAGAAACCCUGAUGCAGCGACGCCGCGUGGAGGAAGAAGGUCUUCGGAUUGUAAACUCCUGUUGUUGAGGAAGAUAAUGACGGUACUCAACAAGGAAGUGACGGCUAACUACGUGCCAGCAGCCGCGGUAAAACGUAGGUCACAAGCGUUGUCCGGAAUUACUGGGUGUAAAGGGAGCGCAGGCGGGAAGGCAAGUUGGAAGUGAAAUCCAUGGGCUCAACCCAUGAACUGCUUUCAAAACUGUUUUUCUUGAGUAGUGCAGAGGUAGGCGGAAUUCCCGGUGUAGCGGUGGAAUGCGUAGAUAUCGGGAGGAACACCAGUGGCGAAGGCGGCCUACUGGGCACCAACUGACGCUGAGGCUCGAAAGUGUGGGUAGCAAACAGGAUUAGAUACCCUGGUAGUCCACACUGUAAACGAUGAUUACUAGGUGUUGGAGGAUUGACCCCUUCAGUGCCGCAGUUAACACAAUAAGUAAUCCACCUGGGGAGUACGACCGCAAGGUUGAAACUCAAAGGAAUUGACGGGGGCCCGCACAAGCAGUGGAGUAUGUGGUUUAAUUCGACGCAACGCGAAGAACCUUACCAAGUCUUGACAUCCUGCGACGGUGCUGGAAACAGUACUUUCCUUCGGGACGCAGAGACAGGUGGUGCAUGGUUGUCGUCAGCUCGUGUCGUGAGAUGUUGGGUUAAGUCCCGCAACGAGCGCAACCCUUAUGGUCAGUUACUACGCAGGAGGACUCUGGCCAGACUGCCGUUGACAAAACGGAGGAAGGUGGGGAUGACGUCAAAUCAUCAUGCCCUUUAUGACUUGGGCUACACACGUACUACAAUGGCGUUAAACAAAGAGAAGCAAGACCGCGAGGUGGAGCAAAACUCAGAAACAACGUCCCAGUUCGGACUGCAGGCUGCAACUCGCCUGCACGAAGUCGGAAUUGCUAGUAAUCGCAGAUCAGCAUGCUGCGGUGAAUACGUUCCCGGGCCUUGUACACACCGCCCGUCACACCAUGAGAGCCGGGGGGACCCGAAGUCGGUAGUCUAACCGCAAGGAGGACGCCGCCGAAGGUAAAACUGGUGAUUGGGGUGAAGUCGUAACAAGGUA
This 1482-nucleotide ribosomal RNA is filed under the name metagenome. RNAcentral's name for it is "bacterial SSU rRNA". It matches the Rfam family "Bacterial small subunit ribosomal RNA". The record is from RNAcentral.